CAGGAGAGUGAGGGAGAUGUUCAUCAAGCAGUCUUUCACCUGAGGAGACCUAAUCAGGUAGAAUAGUCAAAAUCACCUGUGUGCGUUUACCGUCUCUUGGAUUUUUCCCUCAUUAUAUGAAGUAUUAUGACAAAUACGUUUUGCACUCCCAAGUCUGCAGAUUGUGCAACAAAGCAAUAACACCAGUGUCUUGCUGUCACUGCAAACUAAUGAAUCUAAAGUGCUUUAGGAUUGCUUAUGUUAAUUUGCUUCUGACGCCGUGCAAAGAACAUUAAUUGAAUGGGUAUGUUUACUUUUAUGUACGUACUAGUUGUUCUGAAUUGCAUGAGAGAUGCUGAUUUUAUUGCACUGGCAUAAGACAUGACCCAUAUGAGAUGGCACGGACUUGAAAUAUGAAUAUAAUAAGAAUGUAGAACUUCUCAGAGCUAAUGUAUAAAUCCAAUUAUUGUAGAAUACACAUUGAUUAUUUGGGAACACAAAGAAGACAAAAACUGCCCUGAUAAAUAAGUAAAAUCCACGUUGAUAACUCAUAUCCUUCAUUCUCACUGAGUGAUUUUAUUUUCACAGAGAAACUUUAAAAUGCAAAAAGGCUGCGGAAGAGGAACUUGAGAAUAAGAAGUCAGGAGUCUGGGGAGGUUUAUGGAUAUUUGAAGUCCUUUCUGAUUAUACAUUUCUGACUGCAUAUGAAAAAGGACUUCUCGAUUCAGUGUCACUCAAAACAUAUUUUGGUAUCUUGAAACGGUUGAACAGUGUGUAGGGAUAGAUGCUGAUAUAGCUGUUCAUUAAAUAUAACUCUAAUAGCUCAAAUGAAGAGUCUGCCCAUUGAAUUCAAAUGUCAGCCCUCUGCGUUUAUGCAUUGACAGAGGGAACACUUGUAUUGAUGCUGCUGCAAGCUGAGUAAAUGCAUUAAAUUUGUAUUAUUGUGCCAUUCACACAAAGUGUUCAGUUAUGAAUGUGGAUUAGAAGUUGAUGCAAAGUGCAGAAAUAUUUAAAGUAAUUCUUCACUGUUGUCAGUUUGUUCGAUUAGCAGGAAUUUCUCAGAAGAAUUUUUACCCCCAAUCCCCAGUUCUUCCCAGUAUCAUGUAAUGUUAAUCACUGAUGAUUUGCGUGCAUUAUCUGCUUCAGACUUGAUGGAUAUUAACUGAUAUCUGAUCAGAAUUCAUGGCAGCAACCAGUACAGAGUGGUCACAGACUGUGGGUUCGCUUAACGCCAGCAUCCCUGCUUGAGCGCUGCAGGGCUCUGUGGCUCUCUUCGCUCUGCGUGGUGUCUAUUGAACACCAGCAAUCAAUACGAUUUGCACAGUUCCGUGAGCGCCUCUAUCCACCCGAAUACCCUCAGGAAGAGAGCUUUUAGGCUUUUCGUGCGUUUUUACGCAGCGCAAUGGCCAACCCCCCCCAAAACGUUAUACAUUGGCUGCAGAGAAUGUAACCUUUCAAGUUUAGACAACACUAAAAUCCCAUGACUGAUUUAUUGUUUUCAAGUUUUUGCUAUCUUACCAAAACAACAUUUUCUACAAAAAGUAAUUGCAUUUUUACGCAGCGUUCCGUUGGAUAACUGGAGAUCUGACAGAAACACAAUAAAAGAGCUCGAAAGGAGCGGGUCAAUAAAUUAUGUUAAUCAGUCAGAACAGAUUGGAGGCGUGUUGUAGCCGUAAUGAGGGGGAGCAUGCCUGCGCCGCGGAGGAAAAAGCUCCGAGUAUUAACGCCGUCUCCACUACAUGCGCGCUGCCUUCGAUUUCCCCAGCCUCUCUUUCUACUUUAUUGUGCAUAAUAGCAAUUUCCUCUGUAGUAGACUAGGCUACUGUGCAGCGGGCUCGGUGCAACAAGUUUGCAGGAGCCGUCAGUGCAGGUUGACUUGACUUGCCUUGGCUGGAGCAGAGUGGUGCUCCACUCCUCUCAUCUAUCUGUCGCUGCCCACACGAAGUCACUGUACGUGAACGCCGCGUCGCAGGCAAGCAGGCACAUUCACACGCGCAAAACAGUGUGCCACAAAUCCGUGACUCCGCGCCAGAUGCAGUUUGCGCCCAACAAGCGCGUGCAGUUGUAGUUAAAUGGAGAUCGCGGAGGCAAGAGGAGCAUCUAAGUGCGUGGAAAAGAUGGAGAAAGAAGUGACCCCUCAGAAGCGACAAUAUUGCCGCACGACAGUGCUGAACGCAAUCUCGUCUUUAUGCUCAGUGGCGUCCAUCGCCUUUUGCAUUCUUCUGAGCAUUAACUCAGCUGAUCUUAAGAACCGGGUUGUGGACUUGGAGGGGGGGAAUGGCGAGCACACCUUUAUCCGUGCUCCUGGCUACUCCAUGGAUGAUUUUAAUUCAUUGAUUGAACACAGAGUGGGUGAGCUGCUCUCUCAGCGCUCCUAUGAACAUUUUGUCAAGAUUCGGACUGCACGACAAGCAUCACCUGAAUGCAACUGCCCUCCAGGACCUCCGGGAAAGCGAGGAAGAAGAGGCCGAAAUGGAGAGCCUGGACCUCCUGGCCCUCCAGGUACCAAGGGUGAAAAGGGGGAUCAAGGCGACCAGGGACCACGGAUGGUCUUCCCUAAGAUCAGUCAUGGCUUUCUUUCUGCUGACCAGCAGCUCAUAAAGCGACGGCUCAUUAAGGGAGAUCAAGGGCAAGCUGGACCACCUGGGCCACCUGGGCCACCCGGACCUCCUGGGCCGAGGGGGCCUCCAGGGGACACUGGGAAAGAUGGACCCAGAGGUGUACCCGGUUUGGCAGGUGAUCCAGGGCUGUCUGGAGAAACAGGAAUCAUGGGACCUGAAGGGCCACAAGGGGAGAAGGGUUUCCUCGGGCCUCCGGGCAACCCAGGUGUUGAUGGACUGAAGGGGGAUGUUGGCAUCCCAGGAUUGGACGGUGUCCCUGGAGCCAAGGGUGAAAUGGGAGAGCACGGUGAAAAGGGCGAUAUGGGGGAAGAUGGACCGAAAGGUGAUAUAGGGGAGAAGGGAGAUGCAGGCUCCUCUGCAGCGGGCAUCAAGGGUGAACCUGGAGAGUCUGGACGAAGUGGACUAAAGGGAGAGCCAGGACUUCCAGGGCUGCCUGGACUCCCAGGGAUAAAGGGUGAGACUGGAUUCCUCGGCCCCCAGGGAGAGCCAGGGCUUCCAGGACUUCCAGGAACGAAGGGAGAGAGAGGCGACCACGGGCCGCAAGGAAAGGGUGAAAGAGGAGAACUUGGACCCCUUGGACCAAAGGGUUCACAAGGAGAGCCUGGUACACCCGGUCUGAAAGGCUCAAAGGGGGAGACUGGAAACGAAGGAGAAAUUGGAUCUUUUGGCCCAAAGGGCCCCCCUGGACAGAAAGGAGACCAAGGAUCCACUGAAAUCAUUGACUACAAUGGAAACAUUCAGGAGGCUUUACAGAAGAUUACCACAAUUACAGUAACGGGUCCUCCUGGACCUCCUGGGCCGAUCGGACCGGCGGGUAUCAAGGGAGAUCGUGGUAUGCCUGGUCUGCCUGGACUCGAUGGUGAAAGAGGCUACAAAGGUUCCAAGGGAGACAUGGGAAUGCCUGGAGCUUCAGGAGAGAAAGGAACAACCGGUUUACUCGGCCUACCUGGUGUCAAUGGGGUAAAAGGGGACAGGGGAGAUUCAGGUCUGUCUGGUCCUCAAGGUUCUUCAAUCGUCGGCACUCCAGGGUCACCAGGGCCCCAUGGACCCCCGGGACCCAUGGGCCCCCAUGGUUUCUCUGGACCAAAGGGGGAACCUGGUUCGCAUGGUGUGAAGGGUAUUCGAGGAGAAUUGGGACACAAAGGGGAUCGUGGACCAUUGGGUCUCCCGGGAGCCUCCGGCUUGGACGGCAAGCCCGGAAUUAGGGGCACGGAUGGGCCUACGGGUCUGGCCGGUCCAGCUGGGCCAAAGGGUGACAUAGGUGAGAGAGGAGCAUCAGGUGAACCAGGACCAAGGGGACCUUAUGGACUUCCUGGAGCUGCUGGAACACCUGGCUUGGAUGGUUUCCGGGGAUUUAAGGGUGAAAAGGGGGAACCAGGUCAGCCAGGUCUGGACGGGCUGGAUGCCCCGUGCCAAUUGGUACAGUAUUUCUCUUUUUCCUCCACCUCUUACCCAUGCAUGCCCCUCACCUUCAGCGAAACAAAACCAUGCAUGACUUCAGAGCUUGACAGGCAUGAACACACCUUAUUUUAAUCACAACUACAUUUUCCAUCUAGUGUUAAAAAACAAAACAAACAUGCACCAACAUUUACCUUAAUAUACUAACUUUUUGACCGCAAGCAGCCUCUUUUAGAUAAUACACAUCAUUACUCGUGAAAUACACAAAAUAAACUUAUCACUAUUGAUAUACUUGAUACUUAAAUCUAUCCUUCUAACUGAAUCCUUCCUUUCUCUUGAUUAAAACUGGAACAAAACAAAUCCUGUUUCCUUCCUGCUGAUUCCCUUCAUGGACUAGUUACCUUUUAACCUGAUGCUAACACAGAUUCCUUUACUAGUCCCCAUGGACCACUCUUCUACUCCCCCUUUCCCCUUCCUGUAGUUGUACCAAUUGGGCCAGACCAUGACGAUAAGGGGCCAGAAAAUGACAACAAGGGAACAACAAUAGAUUAAACUGAUUAUUGCUCCAGACCUAUUCAAGAUGACCACAUUUUAAGAAAUGUCAUGCUUUGUGUUUCUGAAACAAUGAUGUGUAAUGCAUGGAAGUUCUUACAUUAUGGGUGGAACUAUUAGUGGUUAAAGUAGACUAACUCAUUUUAAAAGGCCAUUGUGAUUGUGUACUGUGUGUAGACAAGGAAAUGAGGUAUAGUAGGUAAGAAACCAUCUCAUAUCACAAAUGUCAUCUUAUUGAAUUACAUCUACACCAGCUGCAAUAACUUUAUUUUCAGAUAAAUCCCCUGAUUUUGUCAUAUUGUCCUCAAAUCCAGCUUGUUAUGGUUUUGCAACUCAACUGAGGGGCGACUAUAAUAAAAUCAGAGGGCAGAAUCAUCAACAUAUAGAUGUGCAUGAGCUAUAUUUUGCUGUGUGUUACGCGCAUGAAUAAGAAUACACUUUUGCAGUUGUCAUUACAUGCAAUAUGAUUUUAUCACAGCGCUCAGAGAAAAUGUGUUGUCUGCAUUAAUGAUUAAGACGACAUACAAGACAAGCAGCGUCAUAUUGACAUUUGUGUAGCUCCAGGAUGGUACAGCAUUACUGUAGGUUAAGUUCCUGUUACGUAAAGAUCCUAUGAAGAGGUUCAUUUCAGUUUGCUUGCGGUAUCUUCCGCGUGUGAUUUGGGCUUAUUGUUUGGAGGCUUCUGUUAACAACAAACCUCCCAUUCCUCUUUCAGUCCUCAUGGUUUUUUUUCCCUCCCUGCUCCUUUCUCUAAACAGGGCCCAGAUGGAUUACCAAUGCCUGGAUGCUGGCAGAAGUGAUCGCUCUAACCUGAAACGCAUGGAGUUUGUAAAUAAUGCUUCUUUUAUGGUAUUUAUAGUUUUUUUUAAUGGGAAAAAAAAAUGUGUAAAAGAAAAGAAGUCUAUGUGUACAAUGAAACAAAAAGAGAUAACCGUCUCACGCUCUAAGCUGCUUCUACUCACAUCACCUUGUGGGGAAAAAAAAAAAAAAGACGUGUGUCCGCUUUCUCACAUCCACAUCGUGGUGGAGUUCACAUCCUUGGCUGGCGGCAGAACUUGUCUCUGUAGUCUUUGCAUGGCUCGGACUGGAGCUUCACGGCCCGGCCAGAUUCACAAAGGGUGAAAGGAGACGAGGAGGAGGAUGAAGUGGAGGAGGAGGGAGGGAUCUGGACUGGCUCUCUAACACCAAACGCUAGGUGUUCUGUGUUGUUUGGUGUCAACAAGCUCACCGCUCAUUCAUACAGCACCAUUUUCUAAAAGACGAAAAAAAACUGUGCCAAAUAGAACAUUGCAACCCUGACCCUGCAAAAGCAUGAGUAGUACUGAAACUAUAUUUAUAUGUAUUGUACAUACAUGUCACUGUUUUGUGGUUGCAUCACGGCUUCUGCAGAGAGGAAAAACAACACUAACAUAAAAAAACAACAACCCCAGAGCUCUAAAUUAGUAAAUUCUGCUUUCCUUUAAUCUUCCCAAGGGAGUCACGCCAUGGCUGGUAGCCUGAAAAUCCCCCAGAAAGUAAAGCUGUUGGUUAUUGUUGCUUUAUUGUGGUGAUGCCUGCAGAGGGUAUGAUAUCAGCAGGUCUUCACUGUUGCACUCAUGUGGCUGAGCAUCAUCAUCAUCAUCGGUGUUGGGCCUCCCACACCCACGUGUCUCCGGACAAGAGGGGAGAACUUAGCAGGCUCGCUGCACUGUUGGGGAAAAUAAAUCAGGCUCGCAUGGAUUUGAGAUUGGACAGGCCUGCCAUGGACCCUCUCGGGGCCCGCCAAUGGAUUCUGCAGGAGAGUCGCUAAGAGUCUCAUCGAUCUCCGUGGAGAUCAGCCGGGAGCGUCUGCCUCAGCAAACAGGCAGCUUCACGAUCUACUGAGAGCGUUAACAGAAUGCGAUCAUGUUUAUUUCUUUUUUUUCUUCUCAUUCUUUAACAUUGUUUGUGUUUUGUGUAUGAUAGCCUUUGGUGCCUCAAGCUUUUAUUCAUUCCUUUAUCAGAAAUGUACAACUUUAUAUCAUAUUUUCAAUUAUUAGAAUGGUGUUUAUUUCAGGAGGGUAUAAGCUAAGUUUGGUUUAAAAAAAAAAAAAAGUUAAAAAAAAGUGAGUUGUUAGAGUAUUGAAAGGACACACACGUCGCGCACUGUUUUUCAUUUGAAUCAUUUUUUUAUACAAUGUUGAAAUAGCAUUACAGCUUCACCUGAGCGUGCAGUAUGAAGACUGCAUCCAUCUCAACUGCCUCUGAUCUUACUCAUGGGUUUUUGAAGAAGCUCAUAUUGUUUGCUCAAAACACAUCCAGCGUUGUAACAAAUAUGCUAACUUGUUCAUUCUGGACUUGUUGUAUGGAAUGAUAGUUGUACAGUGUUGUCAGUACACUGCAUGUACACCAUUUAUUACUUCUGGAUUUCUUAAAUAUUGAAAACCAGUAUUGAUUUGAGCGAGUGUUAAAGAAAGCAUUAACCAUUGUUUCAGCGUUGGGGUUCAUUUAGCUCGAACGGAGCAACAAUCGGAUUAAGCCGAACAUACUGUUGCUGGUAUUUUAUGAGGCAGAUCACGUUGAACAGAACUAUUUCAGUUGCGUUACGCUGCUCUUUUACACCUCAUGUAUUGUCUUAAAAACAUAUGGAAAACAUGUAUCACAGUGCAAAAAAAAAAAGCUAAAUUUGACAGUUAAUUGGUCAACUACCAUUAAUACACCGCAGUCUAACUGGUGGCCAUUUAUGUCACAUUCCAUAUCAGAUGGAGCAAGAAAUGCAGCAAUAGGUUUAUUUUUCAACAUAGUUUAUCCAUCUUUUUCAUAUUUCUUCAUUUCAAAUUGCCUUCUGACAUAGUAGGUGCUAUGCAAGGUGAUACUCACAGUACUUCUUUUCUUCAACAUUAGAAAUAUGCAUGGAUGAGUUGCUGUCAGGGCAGAUGUCAAACACCAACAUUUUGUUGUGAUGUAGCAGCAACCACAGGUGGAUUCAAGAGGAUUUAUUCCCAUGUGGUUUCUGUUUGAUUGUACAGUUCAUCUCAUCGUUCUCAAGAUUGGAUGCACGUAGAUUAUAAUGGUGCUAUCUGAUAGCAGGUCAACAACAGCUCAGUUGAUGCGCUCUACCAGUGGCAAGAACUACACGACAGGUUUCUUUAUUAUUGUUGGGGUUUUAUGUAUGUAACAAUUUUUUCUGCGCAUACAUUUGCGUAUUUGUCUCAAUAUUUUACUUGCAGGUAAUUAUUUAUUUUUGUAUAACUUCCUAAAUGAAGGCAUUUUGGUUCUAAACGGCAUUCCUUUCAGUUGUUUUGGCUUUUGGCAUCAGUUUCCGCUGUGUCGCUCUUGACAUUAUGAAGGAUUUUGGAUCAUCCUCAGGCAUCAUGUAAUAGUUUUGCAAAUGGAUCGGUGUGAAGGAAGUUGGUCAUUUACAAAAAAAAACAACAGACCAGUGUGUAUUCACUGUGCAUUUAAUUCAGACUAUAGGCCUUACAGUGGUUUGUCUAUUUAAUUUAAUUUUGUGUGUCAAAAAGCUCACUAUGACAACAAAGUACUGAUGGCCUGAGCGUUGACAGGCCCAGCCAAUGCACCGCACAAAGUUCAAUACCACAGCUUUUUCUCACGCUUCCUCUUUUCUCUCUCUCUUUGCAUUGAAUGUAGUUUGAUAUAUGUAUAGUGGAUUAUUAAUGUACUGUUAAACUGUGUGCUCAUUUGACAACAAGUGCAAUUUAUACUUUGGUUAAUGUGUGGAGCAUCAAAUGCAGCUGAACGAUCACGUCAUUGUGAUUUCUAAUCGCUCCAUUUGUUCAGUCCUGCUACCCUGUACACCACUACCUGGUUUAUUUACCAGAAGACAAAGAAACAAAUGUAAACAUGGACCUUUCAUUAAAUCUACAUUCUUGAUUGGUUUAAAUAUUUCCUCAAAUUCUGUCUCCUCUCUCGUGUUUCAAAGUGUUACUUCCAUUACUUAAUAUCUACUAAAUCUUUGCAAUGUGUUUAUUUUUUUUAAUUUUCUGUUUUGAUUUCCAGCCUUUUGUUACAGUAUUUGUUCUCACAAACUGUACCUUUAGCAUGUGCAGCUAAUUUUCUAUUGAUUUUUUUUAUUUUGUUUGUUUGAUUGUUGUCUUUCCUUGUUCACUAUUAAAAUUGAGUUUAUUCUGCUAA
Molecule: RNA transcript, 8663 nt
Organism: Anarrhichthys ocellatus (wolf-eel)
Lineage: Eukaryota; Metazoa; Chordata; Actinopteri; Perciformes; Anarhichadidae
Gene: col25a1
Gene name: collagen type XXV alpha 1 chain
Exons: 36
Source: RefSeq, a predicted model, not a curated record